GCUACGGGCGGCAGCAGUGAGGAAUAUUGGUCAAUGGACGCAAGUCUGAACCAGCCAUGCCGCGUGCAGGAAGACGGCUCUAUGAGUUGUAAACUGCUUUUGUACGAGGGUAAACGCAGAUACGCGUAUCUGUCUGAAAGUAUCGUACGAAUAAGGAUCGGCUAACUCCGUGCCAGCAGCCGCGGUAAUACGGAGGAUUCAAGCGUUAUCCGGAUUGAUUGGGUUUAAAGGGUGCGUAGGCGGUCGGAUAAGUUAGAGGUGAAAUCCCGAGGCUCAACUUCGGAAUUGCCUCUGAUACUGUUCGGCUAGAGAGUAGUUGCGGUAGGCGGAAUGUAUGGUGUAGCGGUGAAAUGCUUAGAGAUCAUACAGAACACCGAUUGCGAAGGCAGCUUACCAAGCUACGUCUGACGUUGAGGCACGAAAGCGUGGGGAGCAAACAGGAUUAGAUACCCUAGUAGUC
Molecule: ribosomal RNA, 460 nt
Filed under: uncultured bacterium
Lineage: Bacteria
Description: partial 16S ribosomal RNA
Rfam family: Bacterial small subunit ribosomal RNA
Source: RNAcentral